Ceratotherium simum simum (southern white rhinoceros) is the source of this 105-nucleotide non-coding RNA. Lineage: Eukaryota; Metazoa; Chordata; Mammalia; Perissodactyla; Rhinocerotidae. The record is from RefSeq and is a predicted model, not a curated record.
UUCCAUCUCCUCACAGGAAAUUGGUAUUGUCAGCUUUUUGGAUUGUAGCCAUUCUAAUAGGUGUGUAGUGGUGUCUCGUUGUUUUAAUUUGCAUUUCCCUGAUGA